UAGAAGAUGAAAUAAAUCUAUAUUUGUAAGGUUUUUUGUGCAGCUUCGGAAGCCAGUACAUAGUUGGGACUUUCAUUGUGUUUGGUUCUGCUUGUAAAGAAGUAGCUAAAAGUUUAUGUUUGUUACAGAUGUCGUUUUCUGAAAAUGAAGUCAGUUGGAAUGUUGGUGAAUUCGUGAUUUCCUUUUGCAAAACCUCUAUAUAAAAUUUACGUCAAACAAUAAUGAUAUUAUUAGCAGCUUUAUCAGCCG
RNAcentral lists this long non-coding RNA (249 nucleotides) under Mytilus galloprovincialis (Mediterranean mussel). Lineage: Eukaryota; Metazoa; Mollusca; Bivalvia; Mytilida; Mytilidae. The record is from RNAcentral.